CGUCAGUUAGUGAUGGGAAUACAUUCUGAGAAAUGCAUUGUUAGUCAAUUUCACCGUUGUGUGAACAACAUAGAGUGCACUUACGCAAACCUAAAUGGUACAGCCUGCUACACUCUUAGGCUAUAUGGUACUAUUCUUAAAAGAACAC
Molecule: non-coding RNA, 148 nt
Organism: Ceratotherium simum simum (southern white rhinoceros)
Lineage: Eukaryota; Metazoa; Chordata; Mammalia; Perissodactyla; Rhinocerotidae
Source: RefSeq, a predicted model, not a curated record